CCUACGGGUGGCAGCAGUGAGGAAUAUUGGUCAAUGGGCGUAAGCCUGAACCAGCCAAGUCGCGUGAGGGAUGAAGGUUCUAUGGAUCGUAAAUCUCUUUUUUAAGGGAAUAAAGUGUGGGACGUGCCCUGUUUUGUAUGUACCCCAUGAAUAAGGCUCGGCUAACUCCGUGCCAGCAGCCGCGGUAAUACGGAGGAACUGAGCGUUAUCCGGAUUUAUUGGGUUUAAAGGGUGCGUAGGCGGCAUAUUAAGUUAGCGGUGAAAGUCUGUGGCUCAACCAUAGAAUUGCAGUUGAAACUGGGAGGCUAGAGUAUGUUGGAGGGAGGCGGAAUGCGUGGUGUAGCGGUGAAAUGCUUAGAUAUCAAGAAGAACACCGAUUGCGAAGGCGGCCUGCCAGGCCAUGACUGACGCUGAUGCACGAAAGCGUGGGGAUCAAACAGGAUUAGAUACCCGUGUAGUC
This 460-nucleotide ribosomal RNA is filed under the name uncultured bacterium. Its description in RNAcentral is "partial 16S ribosomal RNA". It matches the Rfam family "Bacterial small subunit ribosomal RNA", at positions 338 to 795 of the family's 1533-position model. The record is from RNAcentral.